AUUGAACGCUGGCGGCAUGCCUUACACAUGCAAGUCGAACGGUAGAAGGAGCAAUCCUUCGAGAGUGGCGAACGGGUGAGUAAUAUAUCGGAACGUGCCCAGUCGUGGGGGAUAACGUAGAGAAAUUUACGCUAAUACCGCAUACGAUCUAAGGAUGAAAGCGGGGGACUUCGCAAGAGGCCUCGCGCGAUUGGAGCGGCUGAUAUCAGAUUAGGUUGUUGGUGAGGUAAAAGCUCACCAAGCCGACGAUCUGUAGCUGGUUUGAGAGAACGACCAGCCACACUGGGACUGAGACACGGCCCAGACUCCUACGGGAGGCAGCAGUGGGGAAUUUUGGACAAUGGGCGAAAGCCUGAUCCAGCAAUGCCGCGUGCAGGAAGAAGGCCUUCGGGUUGUAAACUGCUUUUGUACGGAACGAAAAGGUUCGCUUUAAUACAGUGGGCCCAUGACGGUA
RNAcentral lists this ribosomal RNA (454 nucleotides) under uncultured bacterium. RNAcentral describes it as "bacterial SSU rRNA". It matches the Rfam family "Bacterial small subunit ribosomal RNA", at positions 30 to 477 of the family's 1533-position model. The record is from RNAcentral.